GACGAACGCUGGCGGCGUGCCUAACACAUGCAAGUCGAGCGGGAGACUUCGGUCUCUAGCGGCGGACGGGUGAGUAACACGUGGGUAACCUGCCUUAGUGAGGGGGAUAGCCUCCCGAAAGGGAGAUUAAUACCGCAUAACAUUGCGAUAUCGCAUGAUAUUGUAAUUAAAGGAGUAAUCCGCACUAAGAUGGACCCGCGGCGCAUUAGCUAGUUGGUGAGGUAACGGCUCACCAAGGCGACGAUGCGUAGCCGGCCUGAGAGGGUGAACGGCCACAUUGGAACUGAGACACGGUCCAGACUCCUACGGGAGGCAGCAGUGGGGAAUAUUGCACAAUGGGCGAAAGCCUGAUGCAGCAACGCCGCGUGAGUGAUGAAGGCCUUCGGGUUGUAAAGCUCUGUCUUCUGGGACGAUAAUGACGGUACCAGAGGAGGAAGCCACGGCUAACUACGUGCCAGCAGCCGCGGUAAUACGUAGGUGGCAAGCGUUGUCCGGAUUUACUGGGCGUAAAGGAUGCGUAGGCGGAUACUUAAGUCAGAUGUGAAAAUCCCGGGCUUAACUUGGGAACUGCAUUUGAAACUGGGUAUCUAGAGUGCGGGAGAGGAAAGUGGAAUUCCUAGUGUAGCGGUGAAAUGCGUAGAGAUUAGGAAGAACACCAGUGGCGAAGGCGACUUUCUGGACCGUAACUGACGCUGAGGCAUGAAAGCGUGGGGAGCAAACAGGAUUAGAUACCCUGGUAGNCCACGCCGUAAACGAUGAAUACUAGGUGUGGGGGUUAUCAUGACUUCCGUGCCGCAGUUAACACAAUAAGUAU
This 814-nucleotide ribosomal RNA is filed under the name uncultured bacterium anoxSCC-25. Its description in RNAcentral is "bacterial SSU rRNA". It matches the Rfam family "Bacterial small subunit ribosomal RNA", at positions 28 to 867 of the family's 1533-position model. The record is from RNAcentral.